RNAcentral lists this unclassified non-coding RNA (4090 nucleotides) under Leishmania donovani. RNAcentral describes it as "gene:LdHU3.22.0370(CDS-product:amino_acid_permeas e_putative)". The record is from RNAcentral. Lineage: Eukaryota; Euglenozoa; Kinetoplastea; Trypanosomatida; Trypanosomatidae.
AUAAGCCCUCCGCUCCCUUUUCUCCCUUUUCUCCCUUUUCGUUCUUUUUUUUUCACGCUUCGCGGUUUCGUUUUCGCUUAGGAAAGAAAUCUGCCGUUCCCCCCCCCAUCUCAUCUUCCUCUCGUUCGCACAGUCGCAAACGUAUACACGCAUAGGCGCGCCCGACCACUUCGCCCACCGGCUCCGUGGCGGUUCUUUUUUUUGUCGCUGUUCCCUCUUCCCCCUUUCCUCUGUUUCCUCACAUUCACGUACGCGCACGUGACCAAACCAUGUCCCACAACCCCGACUACACCGUGAUGCAGGACGGCGGCCGUCAGCGUUACAAGGAGGAGACUCAGUCGUCGACCCCAGCGAGCGGCGAUAACCGCGCCGCUGCCGAGAUCGAUGCGACCAUCUGCAAGGAAGAGAAGGAAAUGCAUGAAACCUUUGACCAGGUGCAUGAACUCGUGACAGAAUGCAACGCAGAGGUGGAGGUGCCCAAGCAGCAGCCGAUGUUCCUCGUGCGCCUGAUGCGCCGCGUAAUCCCGCCGGGCGGUUUCGCUAGCGGCGUCUUCAACCUCGCUGGCAGCAGUCUCGGCGCUGGUAUUCUUGGCUUACCCUACGCCUUCGACACGUCCGGCAUCGUCAUGGGCACAAUCUACCUUAUUGUGAUUUAUCUGCUGACGGUGUACUCGGUGCGCCUCCUCGCUAUAGUCUACGGCAAGACGGGCAUUAGGAGCUACGAGCUGACAGCGCGCAUUCUCUUUGGGCGCGGCGGAGACAUCUUCACGGCGGUGAUCAUGUUCAUCAAAUGCAUGGGCGCGUGCAUCGCCUACGUAAUCUGCAUCAACGACCUGUGGCACGCCUUUCUCAAUGACGAUCGCGUUCAGGGCUACUACCGGAGUGUGAGCUUCCAACGCGUGCUCACUUCAGUCACGUUUCUGCUGCUGAUGCUGCCUCUCUCGCUGCCGCGGCAGAUCAACUCGCUCCGCUACGUCUCUCUCUUCGGCGUUGUCUUCGUUUUGUACUUUGUCGUCUGCGUCGUCAUCCACUCCGCCACCCACGGCCUGAAGGAGGGCAUCACCAGCAAGGGCCUGCGCUUGUUCAACACGGGCAAUCGAGCCAUUCAAGGACUCGGCCAGUUCGUCUUCGCAUUUCUGUGCCAGUCGAACGCGUACCAGGUGUUCAACGAAACCCCCAAGCCCAGCGUUCGCUUCUUCGAGUUGCAGGUUCUUGUCAGCAUGCUCAUCUGCACCGUCUUUUACUGGGUGACCGGCUUCUUCGGCUACUGCGACUUUGGCGACAAGGUCGGGUCCUCGCUGCUGCGCAUGUACCGUCCGUUGACGGACUACUACUUUGCCGUCGCCUACGUUGGCCUUGUUGUGAAGCUCUGCGUUGCCUUCGCGCUGCACAUUCUGCCCUCCCGCGACUCAGUUCACCACCUCAUCGGCUGGGAUUUGCACACCGUUGCCUGGUGGAAGAACGCCGUUCUGUGCACCUUCCUCAGCCUCGUCUCGCUGCUGUGUGGCCUAUUCAUCCCGAAUGUAAACACCGUGUUUGGCCUGCUCGGCUCUUUCACCGGCGGCUUCAUCGCCUUCGUCUUUCCGGCGCUCUUCUUUAUCUACAGCGGCGACUACGAGCUGAAAAAGGUCGGCUACUACAACUACUUUGGUGCCAUCGUCCUCCUCAUCUGCGGCGUCACGAUCAUUUGCUUCGGCACCACCGCCACGAUCUACGGCGUGGUGUAGUAGACGAAGCAGAGAAGCGGCCGCCUCUCCUCCCGCCUCCUCUUUGCCCAUUAGCGUGCAAGAAGAGGCAAAGCGGCACAAGACGCGCGCUGAAAAGCGUCUCCCUCCCCUCCCUCCCCUCCCUCCCCACACGCACACAUACACGCACCCAAGAGCAGGGAGAGACUCUACGAGGAGAGGCAGGAGAGGCGCGCUGGUGGGUGCCUGCAUCUGUGCUGUGUUUUCUUUGUUUCCCCCCUCCCCUCUCGCUAAUAUGCAGGAGAGCGGCGCACACGUUUGCACGCUACGGGUGAAGUGGGAAGCGGCGGUGAACGGUUGAUUCGGGCUUUCGUGCGUGUGUGUGCGUGCUUCUGUACCUAUGUUCUUGCUUGGGUGCAGAUAGUGGCGGCGAUGAUGGGCUGCAGGGUGAUUCACACAAGGGGGGAGGCGAAGAGGGGGUGCACGCGUACACAGAAGACACGAGGGCUCUUCACCUUUUGUUAUUGUUCUUCAUCGUCGCCGGCCUGCUCUCUGACUGUUUCCCCACGCGCCCCCACCCCUUCACCAAACCUUCUUCUUCACAGACAAGUGCGCAAGGCCGAAGAGGCAGCCGUCAGCACCCCCCCCUCCUCCCAAGCGCACCCUGUAUGUGCAUGCAUCGACAUGUACGCAGACCACGAGCAGACGCAACAUGGUAGAGAGCGCAAACGAGAGGAAAGAAAGCGAAAAAGAAACGAACCCCCUUCCCCCUCCCCCCAAUAAACAGAAAGAUGAUAACAAGGGCAUCGCUUCAUGUAACCCAACCAAAACUGCGAACAAACCAAACGGAAAAGGGGAAACAACAACAACGAAGAAAAAACGAUAUAGCUCUACAGGAGAGCCUGGUGCACUGAUAAAAGGUAGAUAAAGGAUUACCCCUACCCACAUUCCCUAACCUCACUCCUUCCCUGCUUCCCAUGAUCUGGGCCGCCCUGCGCGUGUGCCUCUGCCUGUGCCCGUCAGUUUCCUUUGGCAAUUUGCUAGUGCCUGAGCGGCAUGCAUGUGAGCGCUAUGCUUGUGGGGCGCCGACGAAGCACUCGCAGAGAAAAGACAACUCUCCUCGUCGGGAAGCGCAUACUGUGGGCGACACGUUCGUGACAGCACACUACAUCGAUGCGUAGAAGGAGAGCGGUGUAGAUCACGACGGAGAGGGAAACGAAGAGAAUGAUUUUCUCCGCCCCCACCCCACCCUCCUCCCUUUUCUCCGUUGGAUUGCUUGUGUGUGUGCGCGCCGUUCGUUAUGCUAACUUUUAUACCGGAAAUAAGCACGUGUUUUCUUCGUUAUACAACCGAAACAAGAACGACGUAAGAGAGUUGUCGGAGAGACGCCAAGGUGCGCGAGGAGGCACUGACAUAGAUAAGGUGUAUGUAGAGCUGCAUGUUUUUCGUUUAUGGCUCAGCUUGCGUAUGUCGCGCUCUCUCCUUUUCUUUUUCCCCUUCUGUUUUUCCUCCUACCAGCACGCCCUCGUAGCUGUGAAUCGUGUUUUUUUUUGCUGUGCUGUUGUUGUCUGCGCUCCGCUGUUGAGGUCCGUGGAGCGUGCGAGCGGGGAGCGGGUGAGCCACAGAGACACGUGAACCGGCUGUUCAGAGGAACGCCCACGCGUAUCGGUGAUACCUGUUUGGCAGCCAUGGUGAAGGCGUUCACAGUGAACGAAUGAACAGCGGAAAUUUGUGAGCGUACACGUCAGCCUCCUUCUUGUCGUCUUUGCGUCUUUCUCACAACCAAUACUUCGCUGCUUGCGGCCUGCCGGCUCUUCAGGUAGGAAAGGACACGUUUUUUCAUUUUUUUUUCUUCUUGCUUGCUUCUGUAUCUCUGUGCGUGUGUGUGUGUGUGUCUGUUUCUUAUUUUUUUUAGUGCUCUUUCGUUUUCCUUCGGUCCUUCGUUGUUGGCUGGGGUGCCUCGUUGUUGUUGGAGAAGGGGUGGGCACGUGCGUGUGUUUGUGCCUCUCUGUGUGCGAAUAUAUAUAUAUAUAUAGCUGCGGUUGUGUAUGCUCAUGUGCGUGCGUGUGUGUGUGUGUGUGUGCCAGGAUGGCUCCUCGAGGUUAGCCAAAACACACACAGCUCUGCACCUUCACCACCCACUCUCCUCCUUCUUUUUUUUAUUGUCUGUUGCUCAGCAUUUCUCUUUCCUUGAGAUCGACUCCCUCCAAGUGAAUCCUUCCCUUCUUUCGUGUGUGUGUGUGUCGGUGUGUGCAUCAGCUCAUCCCCCCUUCAUUUCUUUGUUUUUCGAAAUAGGGAGCGAGAAGGACAGCGGGCACGAGGGAGCGGAGGUGUGCAAAAAAAGGGGGUGAAUGGCAUGAUGUGCAGCGAAGGGCGGGUGUGGGCGGGUGCUAGCUGGAAAGGGU